RNAcentral lists this ribosomal RNA (375 nucleotides) under uncultured eukaryote. RNAcentral's name for it is "partial 18S ribosomal RNA". It matches the Rfam family "Eukaryotic small subunit ribosomal RNA", at positions 592 to 976 of the family's 1831-position model. The record is from RNAcentral.
CAAUAGCGUAUAUUUAAGUUGUUGCAGUUAAAAAGCUCGUAGUUGGAUUUCGGUUAAGAGCGACCGGUCCGCCGUUUGGUGUGCACUGGUUGGUUUUAACUUCCUGUAGAGGACGUGCUCUGGGUUUAACGACCUGGACUCGGAGUCUACGUGGUUACUUUGAAAAAAUUAGAGUGUUCAAAGCGGGCUUACGCUUGAAUAUUUCAGCAUGGAAUAACACUAUAGGACUCCUGUCCUAUUUCGUUGGUCUCGGGACGGGAGUAAUGAUUAAGAGGGACAGUUGGGGGCAUUCGUAUUUCAUUGUCAGAGGUGAAAUUCUUGGAUUUAUGAAAGACGAACUUCUGCGAAAGCAUUUGCCAAGGAUGUUUUCAUUAA